This 793-nucleotide ribosomal RNA is filed under the name Escherichia coli. RNAcentral describes it as "partial 23S ribosomal RNA". It matches the Rfam family "Bacterial large subunit ribosomal RNA", at positions 1917 to 2709 of the family's 2925-position model. Lineage: Bacteria; Pseudomonadati; Pseudomonadota; Gammaproteobacteria; Enterobacterales; Enterobacteriaceae. The record is from RNAcentral.
GCCCCGGUAAACGGCGGCCGUAACUAUAACGGUCCUAAGGUAGCGAAAUUCCUUGUCGGGUAAGUUCCGACCUGCACGAAUGGCGUAAUGAUGGCCAGGCUGUCUCCACCCGAGACUCAGUGAAAUUGAACUCGCUGUGAAGAUGCAGUGUACCCGCGGCAAGACGGAAAGACCCCGUGAACCUUUACUAUAGCUUGACACUGAACAUUGAGCCUUGAUGUGUAGGAUAGGUGGGAGGCUUUGAAGUGUGGACGCCAGUCUGCAUGGAGCCGACCUUGAAAUACCACCCUUUAAUGUUUGAUGUUCUAACGUUGGCCCGUAAUCCGGGUUGCGGACAGUGUCUGGUGGGUAGUUUGACUGGGGCGGUCUCCUCCUAAAGAGUAACGGAGGAGCACGAAGGUUGGCUAAUCCUGGUCGGACAUCAGGAGGUUAGUGCAAUGGCAUAAGCCAGCUUGACUGCGAGCGUGACGGCGCGAGCAGGUGCGAAAGCAGGUCAUAGUGAUCCGGUGGUUCUGAAUGGAAGGGCCAUCGCUCAACGGAUAAAAGGUACUCCGGGGAUAACAGGCUGAUACCGCCCAAGAGUUCAUAUCGACGGCGGUGUUUGGCACCUCGAUGUCGGCUCAUCACAUCCUGGGGCUGAAGUAGGUCCCAAGGGUAUGGCUGUUCGCCAUUUAAAGUGGUACGCGAGCUGGGUUUAGAACGUCGUGAGACAGUUCGGUCCCUAUCUGCCGUGGGCGCUGGAGAACUGAGGGGGGCUGCUCCUAGUACGAGAGGACCGGAGUGGACGCAUCAC